Molecule: unclassified non-coding RNA, 308 nt
Filed under: fungal sp.
Lineage: Eukaryota; Fungi
Description: partial internal transcribed spacer region
Rfam family: Eukaryotic small subunit ribosomal RNA (bases 1-46)
Source: RNAcentral
AAGUCGUAACAAGGUUUCCGUAGGUGAACCUGCGGAAGGAUCAUUAACACUAUAAACAAAUGCGAAAGCAUUUUCGGGAUUGAGUCUGCAAAGAUUCUUUUUCGAUUUUGCUUUUGCUGUCCAAACUUACCCAAACUUUAUUGAAAGUGCUGGUUUGAUUUUCUUGCGAAAAUCUAACUUUUUUCUUUCCAUUUUUUUUUUAACAAAACCCCAAAUCUUUCUUUGCUAAUGCAAAUGACAAUUACAAAAACUUCAAAAACUACUUUAACGUAACCAAACAACUCUUAGCAACGGAUAUCUUGGCUCUC